GACCAGACUCCUACGGGAGGCAGCAGUGGGGGAUAUUGCACAAUGGGGGGAACCCUGAUGCAGCGACGCCGCGUGGGUGAAGGAGCGUUUCGGCGCGUAAAGCCCUAUCGGCAGGGAAGAAGGAGGACGGUACCUGACUAAGAAGCCCCGGCUAACUACGUGCCAGCAGCCGCGGGAAUACGUAGGGGGCAAGCGUUAUCCGGAAUUACUGGGUGUAAAGGGUGUGUAGGCGGGGCUGCAAGUCAGAUGUGAAAUCCCAAGGCUCAACCUUGGAACUGCAUUUGAAACUGUUGGUCUUGAGUAUCGGAGAGGCAGGCGGAAUUCCUAGUGUAGCGGUGAAAUGCGUAGAUAUUAGGAGGAACACCAGUGGCGAAGGCGGCCUGCUGGACGACAACUGACGGUGAGGCGCGAAAGCGUGGGGAGCAAACAGGAUUAGAUACCCCCGUA
This 447-nucleotide ribosomal RNA is filed under the name uncultured bacterium. RNAcentral describes it as "partial 16S ribosomal RNA". It matches the Rfam family "Bacterial small subunit ribosomal RNA", at positions 329 to 792 of the family's 1533-position model. The record is from RNAcentral.